UGUGAUGAUAACGUGCACUCCGAAGCGAUAAUUCCCUUUGAUCCCCGUGGAUCAGGGAAUUUCGCGAUUGUGCAAUGACGAACUGGUGCACAGGGGCCAUCUGAUGCG
Molecule: small nucleolar RNA, 108 nt
Organism: Paramacrobiotus metropolitanus
Lineage: Eukaryota; Metazoa; Tardigrada; Eutardigrada; Parachela; Macrobiotidae
Product: small nucleolar RNA SNORD67
Exons: 1
Source: RefSeq, a predicted model, not a curated record